This 91-nucleotide transfer RNA is filed under the name Candidatus Elulimicrobiales bacterium. RNAcentral's name for it is "tRNA-Ser". It matches the Rfam family "tRNA". Rfam says of the family: Transfer RNA (tRNA) molecules are approximately 80 nucleotides in length. Their secondary structure includes four short double-helical elements and three loops (D, anti-codon, and T loops). Lineage: Bacteria; Candidatus Elulimicrobiota; Candidatus Elulimicrobia; Candidatus Elulimicrobiales. RNAcentral also lists the same sequence under 1 other name. The record is from RNAcentral.
GGAGACGUGGCUGAGCUGGUCGAAGGCACCUCACUGCUAACGAGGCAGGGUAGAAAUAUCCUCAUGGGUUCGAAUCCCAUCGUCUCCGCCA